CGGGGUAUAGCUCAGUUGGCUAGAGUGCGCGGUUUGGGACCGUGAGGCCGGCGGUUCGAGUCCGCCUACCCCGACCA
This 77-nucleotide transfer RNA is filed under the name bacterium. RNAcentral's name for it is "tRNA-Pro". It matches the Rfam family "tRNA". Rfam says of the family: Transfer RNA (tRNA) molecules are approximately 80 nucleotides in length. Their secondary structure includes four short double-helical elements and three loops (D, anti-codon, and T loops). RNAcentral also lists the same sequence under 1 other name. The record is from RNAcentral.